Molecule: ribosomal RNA, 497 nt
Filed under: uncultured bacterium
Lineage: Bacteria
Description: partial 16S ribosomal RNA
Rfam family: Bacterial small subunit ribosomal RNA
Source: RNAcentral
GAUGAACGCUGGCGGCGUGCCUAAUACAUGCAAGUCGAGCGAACGGACGAGAAGCUUGCUUCUCUGAUGUUAGCGGCGGACGGGUGAGUAACACGUGGAUAACCUACCUAUAAGACUGGGAUAACUUCGGGAAACCGGAGCUAAUACCGGAUAAUAUUUUGAACCGCAUGGUUCAAAAGUGAAAGACGGUCUUGCUGUCACUUAUAGAUGGAUCCGCGCUGCAUUAGCUAGUUGGUAAGGUAACGGCUUACCAAGGGAACGAUGCAUAGCCGACCGGAGAGGGUGAUCGGCCACACUGGAAGGGAGACACGGUCCAGACUCCUACGGGAGGCAGCAGUAGGGAAUCUUCCGCAAUGGGCGAAAGCCUGACGGAGCAGCGGCGCGUGAGUGAUGAAGGUCUUCGGAGCGUAAAACUCUGUUAUGAGGGAAGAACAUAUGUGGAAGUAACUGUGCACAUCUUGACGGUACCUAAUCAGAAAGCCACGGCUAACUACGUG